RNAcentral lists this transfer RNA (76 nucleotides) under bacterium. RNAcentral's name for it is "tRNA-Lys". It matches the Rfam family "tRNA". Rfam says of the family: Transfer RNA (tRNA) molecules are approximately 80 nucleotides in length. Their secondary structure includes four short double-helical elements and three loops (D, anti-codon, and T loops). RNAcentral also lists the same sequence under 4 other names. The record is from RNAcentral.
GACUCAGUAGCUCAGCAGGUAGAGCACAACACUUUUAAUGUUGGGGUCCUGGGUUCGAGCCCCAGCUGGGUCACCA